Long non-coding RNA from Oreochromis niloticus (Nile tilapia), 1983 nucleotides. NCBI's taxonomy places the organism in Eukaryota, Metazoa, Chordata, Actinopteri, Cichliformes, Cichlidae. The record is from Ensembl.
UCUUACUGUAAAAAAAACCCACAGACAUGUUGAGUAAAUUUUUAUAACUUGAAAUGCAAAUAUAAAUUGUACAUUUUGUAAACAUAUACAACUAUUUAUCUAAAAAUGCAGCCAAUACACCUGCCGUUUUUUUCAUUUUGUACAACCAUUUAAAAAUAUUACUAAAACCAAAAUGAGAGAACAAUCAGGUGUCGCAAUAAGAUGCCCCACAAAUGAUGUGUGCCAGUGAAAAAAAAGUUUGUCCACCAAAAGAGAGAGGAGAACAGCACAGGGAUAAACCUGCAGGCCUGACAGCAGGAGGUGUAUCACUGUCAUAUGCAAACACUAUGCAAUAUAUUCAGUUUUAGCAUUUAUAUUCACUGUUGACUGUAACUACGCUCAAACUGUUAAUGCUAUCUUAUUUUAAUAAACAACACUGUCAUAUGCAAAACUGGGGUGGCACUUGGGGUGGCAAGGGAUCAUUUUAGGGUGGCACUUGCCACCCCAUGCUACCCUUCUAGAUCCCAGCGCCGUAGCUCCGCAAACGCACAUAACGCACACUGCGUAGGGCACCAAAUGGCCGGUAGGGCACCAAAAAAAUCAGGGUCGUAAAAAAAAAAAAAGUAAACCAUAUUAAUACUAUAAAUAUCAUAUGCAUUAAUAUGGUUAAACAAUACAAAAGCAACAUAAAACAAUUUUCCCGAGAAAAGGGGUGAAUCUGCUUUGUGCCCUGUCUCCAGUCUCCUCCUGGUGCCCCCCCCCCACUCCCAGUGGUCUGUUCUAUAAUGCCUCAAUUCGGUAUUGGUAAACACCUGUUUGAACAUGGCCUCGAAACGGCAACAGGAGUCGGGAGCGGAGAAAAGAAAGAAGAAGAGGAAGCGUGAUGAAACUCAGGCGUCGCUUGCCGGGUCAAUGCUUAAAUAUGUUCAAGGAGGAUCUCAAGGACAGGAUGAACCAUCCAGUAGUAGUGCCAUCCCUGGACAUCAACCACCAGCCAUUGUAGACCCUGCAACAAUCCCUAGCCAAGAAGAACAAGAACCAUCAACCACCAGUUCAGGUACAGUUCCAUACACAAGUACCACUGAGAGUCCUGUCACUGAGAGACUAUCAGAAAGUGACACUGUGGAGACAUGUGUGCCCCCUUCAACCGAUCCUGCUCUUUGGCCAGCUCACAUUGUAGAUGCUGAUCGUGUUGAAAUUGUGCGGAGAGGUCCUUUUAAUGUCAGCUCUGAUUUUAAUUUUCCAAAGGGGCCUGAGUAUUUAUUUGUAACAGUAUUUUUAACCUCCUUUAACCUUAUUUAUUUGUUUAACUGUCAUGUUUGUUGUUAUUUAAUUAAACAAAUUCCACUGAGAAAUUCAAAAGUAUUAAUGUUUUUUUUUUUUUUUUUUAAGUGGCGGGGGGGGGCACCAUAAAGCAUUUGUGCUUAGGGCACCCAAAUGGCUAGCAACGGCCCUGCUAGAUCCGCCCCUGCAGGUAAAAUGAAGUGACAAACCGUCCAGGCUUUAUGAAUAUGAGCUACAAGCAUACUCUGAUGGGGAAAGUUAAGUGGCAAACUGUCAUACUUAGUUAAAUUCGUGCUGGAAUUACUCUGUGACAGCAGAAAUGUGCAUAAACUACUUACGGUAGGACGUUUUGCCAGAGUGGUUUGUUAGAACAGGUGUUGUCAUAGACUGUAAUUAAUAAUAAUAAUUAUAAUGGAUUGCAUUUAUAUAGCGCUUAUAUAUACUAGUAAGCUAAGCUUAUUGUGUGAUGAUUUCGUGUUCGUGAUGAUUUUUGUAGAUUUCUGAAGUUGCGGCAAGUGUAUUUUUAAUGUUCACAUGCCGUGGGCAGGACUGAAGAGCGGGUUGGCAAGGGAGAUCGCUUGCUGUAUGAUUGCUGCGUGUCUAUUUGUCCUAGCACAGCAGCUGUGCAGUAAACCAAAGUCACUACUAUUGUCUAUAGUGACUGAGUUUACUGUGUACUUUGAUAUUUACUGUUGUCUCAGGCCCUGAAAGACAGUUUUA